GCACGGAGUUAGCCGGUGCUUUUCAAGGGGUACCGUCACUAUCGUCCCCCUUUUAGAGGUUUACAAUCCUAGGACCUUCGUCCCUCACGCGGUGUCGCUCCAUCAGGCUUUCGCCCAUUGUGGAAGAUUCCUA
RNAcentral lists this ribosomal RNA (133 nucleotides) under uncultured bacterium. RNAcentral describes it as "partial 16S ribosomal RNA". The record is from RNAcentral.